UGGUUCAACCUCCUCAUGAGCAGUGGAAAUAAUUAGUAUCAUAAUUUACACGUCUCCAGAGCCUUUUGUUUUGAGGUUCUCAAAGGCCCUAGAAGAACAUUUAAUUUCUAAAGUUUACAGUGCCCCGGGGAGCAGGUAGAAUUACCAGCCAAGGCCUUGGGUUAGCCAAGGCCUUAGAUUCCAGAAUGUUCCAUGGUAAGUCCCAAGGUGAUCCCAGAUGUCAAAUCCUAGAGUUGGCUAUGAGAUCUGUCCAGCAGGCCAGUGCCCUCUGUCUGCAGGAGAGUUAGAGGGCCAGAGCACUUUGGAGAACCUCAUAGACAGGUUCUUUCCAAAAAAACACUAGAGGCCCCAGGACCAUCCACACAUGUACCGCUCCCUAAUAGAGCUAGUCUUGUGCUGCCAAAAUGCUUUGGCUGUGUGGUGGCAGGAGCUCCAGGGGACAUCGCUUUCCCUCUCUCCUCAUCUUUUUCCACCUGGGCAAGCACAGCCAGGAGGCUGGCUGUCCUUCCUGCCUAUUUAAAGCUCACUUGGAGCCAAGGUUCCUCUGCAGUCUCUGGCACAGAUUGGCUCACCUUGGGUGGACCCAGGGAGUCACAGUCUGUACCCCUUACCAUGAUCUGCUGCCUCGUCGCUACAGCCAGGCUUUCCAUCAUCCUCAGCUGGCUCAGUCACAUCUCCAGUCGCCCACCAUCACCCACCUGAGGCCCUUCAAACCUUUUCCAUUGGCCUCAAGCCCCACACUCAACCUCCUCCUUUACUGAAGAGAUGGAGCCCUCUGAAAUGAGAUCUGUCCUCAAAAUGUCUCUUGGGCUCUCCCCUCACCCUUCACCUUCUUCCUCCCAUUUCUGAGGAAGUAAGGUUCCUUCUCUGGCCAGAUGUGUUUUCUCUCACCCGCUCCCCCCACCCUCUGCCAUCUCUGUCCCCUGUAUGUACCAGCAUGUGAUCAUUGCACACAUCCUGGCUCCUGUAGCCUGUUCACUCACCUCCCUUCACCACCAGACCUGGGCAGGGCCUCCAGCACCCACUGCUGCCCUUCCUCCUGACAGUGUGCCUCACCUUCCACAUCUAGCCCACUCUGAGGCCAAUGUCUCAGCACCCUCCAUGUUGCCAACUUGAAAGGUUACUUUUCACCAAAAAAAAAAAACCUAGAGUGACCCAUCCUGGAUAGUGCCUGGCAUCAAA
This 1182-nucleotide long non-coding RNA is filed under the name Marmota monax (woodchuck). Lineage: Eukaryota; Metazoa; Chordata; Mammalia; Rodentia; Sciuridae. The record is from RNAcentral.